Molecule: ribosomal RNA, 393 nt
Filed under: uncultured bacterium
Lineage: Bacteria
Description: bacterial SSU rRNA
Rfam family: Bacterial small subunit ribosomal RNA
Source: RNAcentral
GACGAACGCUGGCGGCGUGCUUAACACAUGCAAGUCGAACGGUGAGGAGGAGCUUGCUCCUCCGAUCAGUGGCGAACGGGUGAGUAACACGUGAGUAACCUGCCCAGACCCUGGGAUAACAGUUGGAAACAGCUGCUAAUACCGGAUACGAGACGGAGAGGCAUCUCUACCGUCUGGAAAAGAUUUAUCGGUCUGGGAUGGACUCGCGGCCUAUCAGCUUGUUGGUGAGGUAAAGGCUCACCCAAGGCGACGACGGGUAGCCGGCCUGAGAGGCGACCGGCCACACUGGGACUGAGACACGGCCCAGACUCCUACGGGAGGCAGCAGUGGGGAAUAUUGCACAAUGGGCGAAAGCCUGAUGCAGCGACGCCGCGUGAGGGAUGACGGCCUCGG